ACUCCUACGGGAGGCAGCAGUGGGGAAUCUUGCGCAAUGGGGGAAACCCUGACGCAGCAACGCCGCGUGCGGGACGAAGGCUCUCGGGUCGUAAACCGCUUUUCAGGAGGGAAGAAAAUGACGGUACCUCCAGAAGAAGCCCCGGCCAACUACGUUGCCAGCAGCCUGCGGUACACGUAGGGGCCGANCUUGNCCGGAUUUAUUGGGCGUAAAGAGCUCGUAGGCGCUUGGUAAGU
This 236-nucleotide ribosomal RNA is filed under the name uncultured bacterium. RNAcentral's name for it is "partial 16S ribosomal RNA". It matches the Rfam family "Bacterial small subunit ribosomal RNA", at positions 335 to 588 of the family's 1533-position model. The record is from RNAcentral.